GCAGUCUGCAACUCGACUGCGUGAAGUCGGAAUCGCUAGUAAUCGCGGAUCAGCAUGCCGCGGUGAAUACGUUCCCGGGCCUUGUACACACCGCCCGUCACACCAUGAGAGUCGGGAACACCCGAAGCCCGUAGCCUAACUUGCAAGAGGGGGCGCGGUCGAAGGUGGGUUCGAUAAUUGGGGUGAAGUCGUAACAAGGUAAC
This 203-nucleotide ribosomal RNA is filed under the name uncultured bacterium. Its description in RNAcentral is "partial 16S ribosomal RNA". It matches the Rfam family "Bacterial small subunit ribosomal RNA", at positions 1300 to 1500 of the family's 1533-position model. The record is from RNAcentral.